Molecule: long non-coding RNA, 410 nt
Filed under: Mytilus galloprovincialis (Mediterranean mussel)
Lineage: Eukaryota; Metazoa; Mollusca; Bivalvia; Mytilida; Mytilidae
Source: RNAcentral
UGGCAGUGAGUAUAAUAAGUCUCGAGAUAAUGAAUAUCACCACGAUAUACAAUUCUGAUAAUACCUUGUAAUGUGAAAGGGUUGAAAUCCAAUCUAACAGACUGUAUAGACUCUUCUUUAUGAUUUAUAUAGUGCGUAAGAAAAUUCAAUCACCAUAUACAUAUUUACAUGAUAAGAUAGUCAAACCAAACACCAUGUAUCAGGGUCAGUGCUCUUGUUUUAAUUGUGUUGUUUAAUAAUACGUAACAAUAAUGAUAAUAUAACGUAAUGCCAGCGAUGACAUUUGUCCUGCUUCGUUUAUACUUCCGAAACACCACAGAUAACCGUCCUGUUCAUGAAGUGUUCGACUUGCUUAGUUUUUACUCUUGAAAAGGAACAGUGUUUGCCUAAUUUCUCUUUUUAAACUUUUU